UCUUUAACUUGAACAUCUUCCCAUGACAUAUUAUAUCAUUUGAAUAAAAUAUAUUUUAUGUAUUUGUUCUAGUUGGAAUAUGAGAGAUGACUUUCCAAAAUUUGUCAUAAUUU
This 113-nucleotide small RNA is filed under the name Arabidopsis thaliana (thale cress). RNAcentral's name for it is "ATSL102000". The record is from RNAcentral. Lineage: Eukaryota; Viridiplantae; Streptophyta; Magnoliopsida; Brassicales; Brassicaceae.